This 224-nucleotide long non-coding RNA is filed under the name Lathyrus oleraceus (garden pea). RNAcentral's name for it is "Pisum sativum (pea) long non-coding RNA (PSAT_LNC000836)". The record is from RNAcentral. Lineage: Eukaryota; Viridiplantae; Streptophyta; Magnoliopsida; Fabales; Fabaceae.
UCUGUCUCCCUCUCUCGUUGACUUGUCAACACCUUCCAACACUACACCUUACUCUCAUGUGUGUUUUCUGAAAAAACACAAACAUCCUGUAAUCAUCUCCACUUUCAAACAUCACAACCACCAUUUCUCUACACCAUCGUCAAUAUCACACAAACCUCUAAACCAUCCCCCAACCAAACUCAACAGAAACUUAAAUCUAAAAACCAUAACUAACUACCUAAACA